RNAcentral lists this long non-coding RNA (360 nucleotides) under Fukomys damarensis (Damara mole-rat). RNAcentral's name for it is "lncRNA (ENSFDAG00000025802.1)". The record is from RNAcentral. Lineage: Eukaryota; Metazoa; Chordata; Mammalia; Rodentia; Bathyergidae.
ACCACGUAUUGUGCUGUCAUCCACCUUCAGACUCAAAAGAGCUGAGAAGAAGUGUCACUUUUUUCAGUGUGCCCCUUAAUGAUACAACCCGUCCGCUAGCCGUCACUUUGCCAAGGAAUACACAUGAGGUGGAUUUGUAGUUGACUCGUUUUGUCAUAGAGUAUUUCAGCAAAAUUGCAGUGAACCCUGAAGGCCGGCUCAGACAUUAAAGAAUGGGGGAAAGAAGAAAUGAAAAGAAAGAGGGAGCGAGGGGAAGAAACAAAACAGAAUGUUUUGGAAAGACAGUUCACUCGUCCUCCUAUUUCUCACCACAAGGAGCAAACUAAGGGAAGAAGUAUCUCUAAUAAAAACAGCACUCCA